Molecule: ribosomal RNA, 459 nt
Filed under: Staphylococcus aureus
Lineage: Bacteria; Bacillati; Bacillota; Bacilli; Caryophanales; Staphylococcaceae
Description: bacterial SSU rRNA
Rfam family: Bacterial small subunit ribosomal RNA
Source: RNAcentral
UUUAUGGAGAGUUUGAUCCUGGCUCAGGAUGAACGCUGGCGGCGUGCCUAAUACAUGCAAGUCGAGCGAACGGACGAGAAGCUUGCUUCUCUGAUGUUAGCGGCGGACGGGUGAGUAACACGUGGAUAACCUACCUAUAAGACUGGGAUAACUUCGGGAAACCGGAGCUAAUACCGGAUAAUAUUUUGAACCGCAUGGUUCAAAAGUGAAAGACGGUCUUGCUGUCACUUAUAGAUGGAUCCGCGCUGCAUUAGCUAGUUGGUAAGGUAACGGCUUACCAAGGCAACGAUGCAUAGCCGACCUGAGAGGGUGAUCGGCCACACUGGAACUGAGACACGGUCCAGACUCCUACGGGAGGCAGCAGUAGGGAAUCUUCCGCAAUGGGCGAAAGCCUGACGGAGCAACGCCGCGUGAGUGAUGAAGGUCUUCGGAUCGUAAAACUCUGUUAUUAGGGAAGAA